Bombina bombina (fire-bellied toad) is the source of this 1087-nucleotide long non-coding RNA. RefSeq lists it as uncharacterized. The record is from RefSeq and is a predicted model, not a curated record. The transcript has 2 exons. NCBI's taxonomy places the organism in Eukaryota, Metazoa, Chordata, Amphibia, Anura, Bombinatoridae.
CAACUAUACAAGCUGUAACCAGGACUCCCACAAGAAACAAAUGGGAAAGAAUCUGAAGAAAUACCAAAAAGAUGACAACCUAUCUUCAAGUUGGGAAAAUCCAUGUCCUAAUGUUGUUAUGGCUGAUUAUGGAGGGUUAUGAAGGGUUUUGCUGGACGAAAUUCUUUUUACAUUUUCAGAGGACUGCAUGGGUACUUUGGGUUUGACUAAGUCAACUUUAAAAUGGAAAUCGUGAUUGUGGUAUCAAAGUCAAUGUAUGUAACUGAACUAUAUUUUGGAAGAUGAUGAGGAUAAUCAACAACAUCGAAAUAAACAUUAAGAUCCUGCAUGUAUUAACAUGGCAUUAGACAAAGGUCUAAUGUUACAAUGUUAUACAGAAUGAGUUAGAUGUGGCAAAGAAAUAUCUAUUUUUAGGUUUAUUUUUGCAAAAUAUAAAAAUCAAGGGCAAUGACAUUAUUUUGGGAACAAAAGAACGUUACAACAUCCGAUUGUACGAUUUUACUUUAAAAAUGUUAAUUAUUGUUAAAUAUAUAAUUAUUUUGUUUAUGUUAAUUUUGUAUAAAGAGAAUAGUUUAUAGAGUAAUGUGCUAAACCUUACCGUUACACUAUAAGGCCUACCAAAGGUGUGGACUGUAAGAUUUUAAUGAGUAUAUAAAUGGUGUCCAUAUUGUUACAGAGAAGGUUAGUGUAUCCUUAUGACUAUUUUUAACAUCAGGCAUGAUGUCAUGCUGAACUAGUCAGUAAGCAAGCAUUUAACAUAUAUGGAUAUGGGAGUGACAAGUAUUGCAAAGAGCUUACAAUAGUGUAGAGCACCUUAUUUGGAACAGAGCCAAAAGUAUAUGGUCAGCAGUUUUAAAGGGUAUAAGAAUUAGAGAGAAAUAAUGGUAGAAAGAGUUCAUCUUUGAAAGGGAAACACCAACUAUACAAGCUGUAACCAGGACUCCCACAAGAAACAAAUGGGGUAAUAUUAAUUUAUGUAUUAUUUCUCUGUUAAAUUGUUUUUAUGUGUUUAACCUUGUAAACAGUAACAUGUAAUCUGGUUAUUUAUCUGUUCUUUAAUAAAUGUGUGAUGGUUUAAAUAGUUGAA